GUAGCAGAGCUUCUGUCAUUGAUGGGUUCUUUGCGUCCUCAAUCCUCAGAAAGGAAGUUGAAAUGGGGAGUAAUUAGGCGUCAACUUUUGCAGGAACUAAAUUUGGCUGAAGCUGUUGUGAAUAGGUUGCAGACUGUUGGUUUGAGGUUCUGUGGAGCUGCAGACCAGGCCCUUCCUCGAUUAAGGGGAGCCCUCCCAGCUGAUAAACCCACGCGGAAGGCGCUUGAUGAGUUGUCAGAUCUGAUUAUCUAUUUGAGAGUUUGGAAGAUAGAAGACCAUGUUUAUAUAAAUGUGCUAAUGCCACCAACUGAGAAUUAUCACAGAGAUUUGUUUUUUCAGAUAUAUCUAAUGGAGAACAAUCCUGGAUCACUUAGUGAAGGCACAUUGCUUGCUGUAGGAGGCCGC
This 405-nucleotide unclassified non-coding RNA is filed under the name Hevea brasiliensis (rubber tree). The record is from RNAcentral. Lineage: Eukaryota; Viridiplantae; Streptophyta; Magnoliopsida; Malpighiales; Euphorbiaceae.